GACGGAAGGUGCAAGCGUUGCUCGGAAUCACUGGGCGUAAAGGGUGCGUAGGCGGCCGCGCAAGUCUGGCGUGAAAGCCCCGGGCUCAGCCCGGGAAGGGCGCUCGAAACGGCGCGGCUCGAGUGCCGGAGGGGAGAGUGGAAUUCCUGGUGUAGCGGUGAAAUGCGUAGAUAUCAGGAGGAAUACCGGUGGCGAAAGCGACUCUCUGGGACGGUACUGACGCUGAGACGCGAAAGCGUGGGGAGCGAACAGG
Molecule: ribosomal RNA, 253 nt
Filed under: uncultured bacterium
Lineage: Bacteria
Description: partial 16S ribosomal RNA
Rfam family: Bacterial small subunit ribosomal RNA
Source: RNAcentral